CUUGGUGAUAGGAGCGACGUGGACCCACCCGGUUCCAUUCCGAACCCGGUCGUUAAACGCGUCAGCGCCGAUGGUACUGGGGGGGAAGCCCCUUGGGAGAGUAGGUCACCGCCUGGA
RNAcentral lists this ribosomal RNA (117 nucleotides) under Anaerolineae bacterium. The record is from RNAcentral. Lineage: Bacteria; Bacillati; Chloroflexota; Anaerolineae.